Molecule: unclassified non-coding RNA, 253 nt
Filed under: uncultured Bacillaceae bacterium
Lineage: Bacteria; Bacillati; Bacillota; Bacilli; Caryophanales; Bacillaceae
Description: contains 16S-23S intergenic spacer region
Rfam family: Bacterial small subunit ribosomal RNA
Source: RNAcentral
UACGUAGGUGGCAAGCGUUGUCCGGAAUUAUUGUGCGUAAAGCGCGCGCAGGUGGUUUCUUAGGUCUGAUGUGAAAGCCCACGGCUCAACCGUGGAGGGUCAUUGGAAACUGGGGAACUUGCGUGCAGAAGAGGAAAGUGGAAUUCCAUGUGUAGCGGUGAAAUGCGUAGAGAUGUGGAGGAACACCAGUGGCGAAGGCGACUUUCUGGUCUGUAACUGACACUGAGGCGCGAAAGCGUGGGGAGCAAACAGG